Molecule: long non-coding RNA, 105 nt
Organism: Octopus sinensis (East Asian common octopus)
Lineage: Eukaryota; Metazoa; Mollusca; Cephalopoda; Octopoda; Octopodidae
Exons: 3
Source: RefSeq, a predicted model, not a curated record
ACAUGAAAAACGAAAGAAAGCAAAAGAUAGAGACUUUCAGACAAAGAAUAUUUAAGUACCAACAUGUAGAUAUUUACAUAAAUAGAGAUAUAUUAAUCGAUCAAA